Mycena metata is the source of this 94-nucleotide non-coding RNA. The record is from the annotation of a GenBank genome assembly. NCBI's taxonomy places the organism in Eukaryota, Fungi, Basidiomycota, Agaricomycetes, Agaricales, Mycenaceae.
GCCCUUGUGGAUCUGGUGAUCAUCCCUCUCUUCGUAGCUUUUCAUGUUUCGCGUUGAAAUGAGGGAGGCGAAGGUUCGAUUCCUUCCGAGGGCA